AGUUUGAUCCUGGGUUCAGGGACGAACGCUGGCGGCGUCCCUACCACAUGCAAGUCGAGCGAUGAAAAAGAAGUAGAUCUUUUCGGAAGUGACGCCUUUUUGGAUUAGCGGCGGACGGGUGAGUAACACGUGAGCAACCUGCCGUACACAUUGGGAUAGCCUCGGGAAACUGGGAUUAAUACCAAACGAAACAUAUUGAUAGCAUUAUCAAAAUGUCAAAGAUAUAUCGGUGUACGAUGAGCUCGCGUCUGAUUAGCUAGUUGGUGAGAUAAAAGCUCACCAAGGCAAUGAUCAGUAGCCGGCCUGAGAGGGUGAUCGGCCACAUUGGGACUGAGACACGGCCCAAACUCCUACGGGAGGCAGCAGUGGGGAAUAUUGCACAAUGGAGGGAACUCUGAUGCAGCGACGCCGCGUGAGCGAAGAAGGAAUUCGUUUCGUAAAGCUCUGUCCUAUGGGAAGAUAAUGACGGUACCAUAGAAGAAAGCCCCGGCUAACUACGUGCCAGCAGCCGCGGUAAUACGUAGGGGGCGAGCGUUGUCCGGAAUUAUUGGGCGUAAAGGGUUCGUAGGCGGUAAUACAUGUCAGAUGUGAAAUCUUGUGGCUUAACCACAUCAAGCAUCUGAAACUGUAUAACUUGAGUGGAGGAGGGGUAAGUGGAAUUCCUAGUGUAGCGGUGAAAUGCGUAGAUAUUAGGAAGAAUACCAGUAGCGAAGGCGACUUACUGGCCUCUAACUGACGCUGAUGAACGAAAGCGUGGGUAGCAAACAGGAUUAGAUACCCUGGUAGUCCACGCCGUAAACGAUGAGUGCUAGGUGUCGGGAGUCAAAUCUCGGUGCCGUAGUAACGCAAUAAGCAU
Molecule: ribosomal RNA, 856 nt
Filed under: uncultured bacterium
Lineage: Bacteria
Description: bacterial SSU rRNA
Rfam family: Bacterial small subunit ribosomal RNA
Source: RNAcentral